This 993-nucleotide ribosomal RNA is filed under the name Vikalpa sphaerica. RNAcentral describes it as "SSU rRNA". It matches the Rfam family "Eukaryotic small subunit ribosomal RNA", at positions 100 to 1102 of the family's 1831-position model. The record is from RNAcentral. Lineage: Eukaryota; Fungi; Ascomycota; Dothideomycetes; Pleosporales; Dictyosporiaceae.
AUUAAAUCAGUUAUCGUUUAUUUGAUAGUACCUUACUACUUGGAUACCCGUGGUAAUUCUAGAGCUAAUACAUGCUAAAAACCCCAACUUCGGGAGGGGUGUGUUUAUUAGAUAAAAAACCAACGCCCUUCGGGGCUCCUUGGUGAUUCAUGAUAACCUCUCAGAUCGCACGGCCUUGCGCUGGCGACGGUUCAUUCAAAUUUCUGCCCUAUCAACUUUCGAUGGUAAGGUAUUGGCUUACCAUGGUUUCAACGGGUAACGGGGAAUUAGGGUUCGAUUCCGGAGAGUGAGCCUGAGAAACGGCUCACACAUCCAAGGAAGGCAGCAGGCGCGCAAAUUACCCAAUCCCGACACGGGGAGGUAGUGACAAUAAAUACUGAUACAGGGCUCUUUUGGGUCUUGUAAUUGGAAUGAGUACAAUUUAAACCUCUUAACGAGGAACAAUUGGAGGGCAAGUCUGGUGCCAGCAGCCGCGGUAAUUCCAGCUCCAAUAGCGUAUAUUAAAGUUGUUGCAGUUAAAAAGCUCGUAGUUGAAUCUUUGGCCUGGCUGGCGGGUCCGCCUCACCGCGUGCACUUGUCCGGCCGGGCCUUCUCUUCUGGAGAACCGCAUGCCCUUCACUGGGCGUGUUGGGGACCAGGACUUUUACUUUGAAAAAAUUAGAGUGUUCAAAGCAGGCCUUUGCUCGAAUACGUUAGCAUGGAAUAAUAAAAUAGGACGUGCGGUCCUAUUUUGUUGGUUUCUAGGACCGCCGUAAUGAUUAAUAGGGACAGUCGGGGGCAUCAGUAUUCAAUUGUCAGAGGUGAAAUUCUUGGAUUUAUUGAAGACUAACUACUGCGAAAGCAUUUGCCAAGGAUGUUUUCAUUAAUCAGUGAACGAAAGUUAGGGGAUCGAAGACGAUCAGAUACCGUCGUAGUCUUAACCAUAAACUAUGCCGACUAGGGAUCGGGCGGUGUUAUCGAUUUGACCCGCUCGGCACCUUACGAGAAAUUCAA